UUAUACCAAAUUAAAAUUUGAUGUAUAAAAUUGCACAAAAUUAAAGUUUUUGUAUAUAAUUACACACUAAACCAAAGUUAUAGUACAGUUUUGAGAUUUAUCCCAAUAAAAUUAUAAGAAGAAAUUUAUUUUUCCAAAAAAAAAGCAUUAGCCAAUGUAAUAGGCCUAAUUUGCCUGGACCCAAAACCCAAAAAAAAACAGAAAUAAAACCCAAAAAAAUAAAUAGUCCAAACAGUCCACAUUACCAGCCUAAAUUACAAACCCAAUUAUAGCCCAAAUAAAUUAAAACCCUAAAACCCAAAACCUAAACAAAUUUUC
This 318-nucleotide long non-coding RNA is filed under the name Gossypium raimondii (Peruvian cotton). RNAcentral's name for it is "long non-coding RNA (GRAI_LNC002077)". Lineage: Eukaryota; Viridiplantae; Streptophyta; Magnoliopsida; Malvales; Malvaceae. The record is from RNAcentral.